Molecule: small nucleolar RNA, 214 nt
Organism: Alligator mississippiensis (American alligator)
Lineage: Eukaryota; Metazoa; Chordata; Crocodylia; Alligatoridae
Rfam family: Small nucleolar RNA U3
About the family: Small nucleolar RNAs (snoRNAs) are involved in the processing and modification of rRNA in the nucleolus. There are two main classes of snoRNAs: the box C/D class, and the box H/ACA class.
Source: Rfam
AAGAUGGUACUUCUAGGGAUCAUUUCUAUAGUUGAUAACUAGAGAAGUGUGCCUGAAAGUGAUUGGACUUGCUAGCCACAAUGAGGAGUCAUAGUGUUCUUUCCUGAGCAUGAAGUGAGUUGGUAGUGCUGUCUGCAUGCAGUUGCUACCUUUCUCUUGAUGAUUGCUCCACUUCCAUUGAGGAGCUGGAGGGAAAGGACACAUACUGAGUGGU